Long non-coding RNA from Mytilus trossulus (common blue mussel), 433 nucleotides. RefSeq lists it as uncharacterized. The transcript has 5 exons. The record is from RefSeq and is a predicted model, not a curated record. NCBI's taxonomy places the organism in Eukaryota, Metazoa, Mollusca, Bivalvia, Mytilida, Mytilidae.
UAUGCACGUGAAGGAACAUGUACUGAGCCGAAAUAUACAGGAUGGGUCAAAGAUAAUUGUGCAAGAACCUGCUUAUGUUCUGGUGGAUCUUAUUACACUGGAAGGUAUGUCGGACCAAGCGGAACUGUUGCUUGCGUCGAUAUACAAGGUAAUUGUGCCGCUUAUGCACGUGAAGGAACAUGUACUGAUCCCAAAUAUACAGGAUGGGUCAAAGAUAAUUGUGCAAGAACCUGUUUAUGUUCUGGUGGAUCUUAUUACACUGGCAAGUAUAUAGGACCAAGUGGAUCUGGAACAGUGAUUGGAACUGGUGUGUCCAGAACAAAGACCGUAUCUUGCGUCGAUAAAAGAGGUGACUGUGCCACUUAUGCACUUCAGACAUGUGUUAAUCCGAAAUAUACAGAAUGGGUCAAAGAUAAUUGUGCAAGAACGUGCU